GGCUUGGUGGUCUAGAGGUAUGAUUCCUUCUUAGGGUUGUGGUCAUGAACCGCGAUCACUUGGAGGAGGUCCCGGGUUCGAUUCCCGGCUAAGCCC
This is a non-coding RNA of Gelatoporia subvermispora B, 96 nucleotides long. The record is from the annotation of a GenBank genome assembly. Lineage: Eukaryota; Fungi; Basidiomycota; Agaricomycetes; Polyporales; Gelatoporiaceae.